RNAcentral lists this ribosomal RNA (243 nucleotides) under uncultured microorganism. RNAcentral's name for it is "partial 16S ribosomal RNA". It matches the Rfam family "Bacterial small subunit ribosomal RNA", at positions 9 to 253 of the family's 1533-position model. The record is from RNAcentral.
GAGUUUGAUCCUGGCUCAGGACGAACGCUGGCGGCGUGCCUAAUACAUGCAAGUCGAGCGAGGGUUUUUAAGACCCUAGCGGCGGACGGGUGAGUAACACGUAGGCAACCUGCCUCUCAGACCGGGAGUAACAUAGGGAACUUAUGCUAAUACCGGAUAGGUUUUUGGAUCGCAUGAUCCGAAAGAAAAGAUGGCUUUUCGCUAUCACUGGGAGAUGGGCCUGCGGCGCAUUAGCUAGUUGGU